GAUGAACGCUAGCGGGAGGCCUAACACAUGCAAGCCGAGCGGUAUUUGUCUUUCGGGACAGAGAGAGCGGCGUACGGGUGCGGAACACGUGUGCAACCUGCCUUUAUCUGGGGGAUAGCCUUUCGAAAGGAAGAUUAAUACCCCAUAAUAUAAUGAAUGGCAUCAUUUAUUAUUGAAAACUCCGGUGGAUAGAGAUGGGCACGCGCAAGAUUAGAUAGUUGGUGAGGUAACGGCUCACCAAGUCGAUGAUCUUUAGGGGGCCUGGGAGGGUGAUCCACCACACUGGUACUGAGGCAAGGACCAGACUCCUACGGGAGGCAGCAGUGAGGAAUAUUGGACAAUGGGUUAGCGCCUGAUCCAGCCAUCCCGCGUGAAGGACGACGGCCCUAUGGGUUGUAAACUUCUUUUGUACAGGGAUAAACCUACUCUCGUGAGAGUAGCUGAAGGUACUGUACGAAUAAGCACCGGCUAACUCCGUGCCAGCAGCCGCGGUAA
This 495-nucleotide ribosomal RNA is filed under the name uncultured bacterium. Its description in RNAcentral is "partial 16S ribosomal RNA". It matches the Rfam family "Bacterial small subunit ribosomal RNA", at positions 28 to 523 of the family's 1533-position model. The record is from RNAcentral.